Molecule: RNA transcript, 796 nt
Organism: Frankliniella occidentalis (western flower thrips)
Lineage: Eukaryota; Metazoa; Arthropoda; Insecta; Thysanoptera; Thripidae
Exons: 3
Source: RefSeq, a predicted model, not a curated record
GUGAAAUGCCGAAGUUCUAUAUGUCCUUAUGUGGUACAACUCCAUUAUCUCCUGGAAUAGUAGUGAGUCGAAUGCUUUGCCCUGGUCUGUUAACAAUGCAUGCGGAGCUCCAAAUAUGGAGAAUACAUGCGUUAUCAGAGCUUGUGCUAUUUCAUCCGCUGUUUGUUUGAACAAUGGAACUAUUACAGGCCAACCUGAAAAUGCUUCCACUGCUACUAAUAUGUACUCGUGUCCUUCUUUGCUUCUAGGAUUGAUUGGUCAACAUAUAUCCACAUGCCACCUUCCGUGUAACAUUCCUUCCUGGAAUAAUUUAAGCGGUGCUUUAGUCAUUCUGUGUGGACCUUUGAACUUGGCACACACUCUGCAUUCAGAUAUUACUCCGUAUAUAUCAUUAAACAUUCCGGGCCACCAGAAGAACCUUUUAAGGAUGUUCAAACUUUCUGUAUAAUACUCCACCGUUUAUAGUGAGAGAUUUGAACUGUAGCCACAAGGUUCUUGUUUUGCUUCCACACUGGGCUAUCUCCUGAAAGUCUGGUCUGACUCCAUCCUCUACAGCCAAAAAUAUGGGCAUUAUGGAUUCGUCCAAAACUUGUGCUUUGUGUAUGUCACUUGGUGUCAAUCCAUUUGGGACUACUGUUGUCCAGUUUACUUUUACAUUAUCCGCGUUUUCACAUGGUCUCCUAGAUAAUGCAUCAGCAUGUCCUAUACUGGUUCCUUUUACGUGGAUAACCUGGAAUUUAUAUGGUGCUAGUCUUUCCAGCCAUCUAGCCAACUUGCCUGUGGGGUUCUUAAAAUU